Molecule: non-coding RNA, 30 nt
Filed under: Homo sapiens (human)
Lineage: Eukaryota; Metazoa; Chordata; Mammalia; Primates; Hominidae
Source: RNAcentral
UGAACAAUAUGAAAUCAGUGCACCUUGAAA